This 492-nucleotide ribosomal RNA is filed under the name uncultured bacterium. RNAcentral describes it as "partial 16S ribosomal RNA". It matches the Rfam family "Bacterial small subunit ribosomal RNA", at positions 29 to 507 of the family's 1533-position model. The record is from RNAcentral.
AGUGAACGCUGGCGGUAGGCCUAACACAUGCAAGUCGAGCGGCAGCACAGUAAGAGCUUGCUCUUACGGGUGGCGAGUGGCGGACGGGUGAGGAAUACAUCGGAAUCUACUUUUUCGUGGGGGAUAACGUAGGGAAACUUACGCUAAUACCGCAUACGACCUACGGGUGAAAGCAGGGGAUCUUCGGACCUUGCGCGAUUGAAUGAGCCGAUGUCGGAUUAGCUAGUUGGCGGGGUAAAGGCCCACCAAGGCGACGAUCCGUAGCUGGUCUGAGAGGAUGAUCAGCCACACUGGAACUGAGACACGGUCCAGACUCCUACGGGAGGCAGCAGUGGGGAAUAUUGGACAAUGGGCGCAAGCCUGAUCCAGCCAUACCGCGUGGGUGAAGAAGGCCUUCGGGUUGUAAAGCCCUUUUGUUGGGAAAGAAAAGCAGCAGGUUAAUACCCCGCUGUUCUGACGGUACCCAAGGAAUAAGCACCGGCUAACUUCGUG